Molecule: long non-coding RNA, 1441 nt
Filed under: Hordeum vulgare
Lineage: Eukaryota; Viridiplantae; Streptophyta; Magnoliopsida; Poales; Poaceae
Description: long non-coding RNA (HVUL_LNC017966)
Source: RNAcentral
ACAGUUUAAACGAUAAAACAUUUUGAAUAAAUAGAUCUACGAAAAAAGGAAAAAAUGUUACAUUACGACAUGUGACACAACUUGUUACAACACGAGAAGGUGGAAGUGACUUUAGAAGAUGUAUAUCUCAAUUAGUGAUUUAGUAAAAAAAGCAUGAUGCAACAUGAAUCAAAAUGGGCCGGUCUAGCAUGGCAUGACAAAACACGCGGGGCUAGACCUGAAAGUUGAGAAAUUCUUCUAAAAAAGCAGCUACUCAUUUAGAAAAAUAAAUUUGAAUUAUUUUGUGUUUUAGAUAAAAUAAUUUAUACAACCAUGAAUGUUUAUACUGUUUGAAAUUUUUACAAAUCUAAACACAAUAUUAAUGGAUUCCAAAAUAAUAUUCAUGAAAUUGAAAAAUAUGUGCACAAAUUUAGAGAAAAUUCAAAACAUUUAAAAUCCACUGAUUUACCAAUAGUAAAAAUAUAUCAAGCGUGUUUUCUAAAUGCAUUUACACAAUGCGUUUUGGCACAUGGAGCUAUACCUAGGCAUACGACAGGUCGGGCCGGGCUUAGGGGCAGGCCGAAAAAGCCCGGUGCUCAAUACCCAAUCCCGGGCCUGGCCCGGCCUAACCAUCGGACCUAAAUACUAUGCUCAAGCCCGGCCCGAGCCCGACCCGAUGGCAUGAUUAGGCUCGGACCUGCCCGAAAUUUCCGGGGCGUCCGGACCGGGUUGUCCAUGGCUAGUUAUACAUGAUGCCCACAACAACCGAUAUAUGAAAUUAAAUGGGUGGGGCCACCUACAGCGCCACACUCCCUAUUUAGGGAAGCUUCAUGUUUUUUUGGGUUGUUUGGUAAGGGUUUUCACCCUGGAUUUUGUUUGCCUUUUUUCUUCUUAUUUUUUUAGUUUUUUCCUUUCUUUACUUUUGGUCGUUGAUUUUUUUAUUUUGGAAAAUAAAAUAAAAUUCGUGUAAACUUUCCCAUUUGGUGAUUUUUUUCAUAUUCCUGAACUAUUUUGAAAUAUGAUUUAUAAAUUCCUAUCUAUUUUUAUUUUUAUUUCUUCCCGUUUGGUGAACUUUAAAUAUUUUUAUUUUUGUGGUUUGUUUAAAUACAUGAUUUCUUCUCAUAAUAUGGAACAUUUUCAUGAUGUUGAGAACUUUUUUCUCAAAUUCGUGAGCAUAUAUUACAUCCGUGACCCUUUUUGAAAUUUAGUAUCAUAAUUUUUAAAAUCUAAUAAUUUUCAAAUUCACAAUCAUUUUUUAUAAUUUUUGAAAAGUCAAUGGUCAACAUUACUUGUCAAAAGGUCAACGGGUGCGUGAGCUUCAAUUGGCCAAGUUGGCGCACAAGGCACUGACUAGGAGGUCUCUUCUCUAUGCCAUCUUCUGUUUCCAUCCUGUACAUCCUGGCUUAUAUAGCCCGAAGACACCGAAAAAGCACAGCAGAGACCGGGCUCCAGUGAGUUCCGU